Long non-coding RNA from Erigeron canadensis, 544 nucleotides. RefSeq lists it as uncharacterized. The record is from RefSeq and is a predicted model, not a curated record. Lineage: Eukaryota; Viridiplantae; Streptophyta; Magnoliopsida; Asterales; Asteraceae. The transcript is spliced from 3 exons.
UCUCUCUCUUACACUAAAUGCAUCACCAACACUUGCAUCCUCUUUCUCUCUAAAUUCUCUAUAUCAUUUAAUGUGUUUCAAGUUAGUUUAGUCAUAAAUUCAUCACCACAAGCAUCAAAUCAUAUCAAAAAUGGAAAGCUUAAAGUGCAAGAAAACUUGAUUUUUAGCUAAUUUCGGAUUUCUAGCUUCGGUAGUUUUGGCCGUGAUCAUUGAAGCUUUCGGGGUAAUUGUGGCUCGUUGAAUACUUAUAAAUCAACUAUAACUUGACGAUACGAGGCAAAGAUGAACAGGUGAAUCAAAGACAUGUUGGAUUAUAAUUGAUUGUUUGCAUGUUAAGAUUGGACUUGGACUUUACUGUGGGUCCGUGAUUCAUUGUCCCUGCUUAUGGGUUAUGCUUAGGAUCAUAUACCAUCUUUUGUAUUAUAUUUUGUAAAUGUUUGAUGGUCGUGCUCCUUAUGUAUUUUUGUAUAGUCACAGAUUUGUAAUUGAUUAACUUGUAUGGAUUCCCAAUUCUUUUAAUGCAUCUAGAUUUGUCUCUACUUAA